Molecule: ribosomal RNA, 468 nt
Filed under: uncultured bacterium
Lineage: Bacteria
Description: partial 16S ribosomal RNA
Rfam family: Bacterial small subunit ribosomal RNA
Source: RNAcentral
GACGAACGCUGGCGGCGUGCUUAACACAUGCAAGUCGAACGGAAAGGCCCUGCUUUUGUUGGGUGCUCGAGUGGCGAACGGGUGAGUAACACGUGAGUAACCUGCCCUUGACUUUGGGAUAACUUCAGGAAACUGGGGCUAAUACCGGAUAUGAUCUCCUGCUGCAUGGUGGGGGUUGGAAAGUUUCGGCGGUUGGGGAUGGACUCGCGGCUUAUCAGCUUGUUUGUGUGGUAGUGGCUUACCAAGGCUUUGACGGGUAGCCGGCCUGAGAGGGUUACCGGGCACAAUGGGACUGAGAUACGGACCAGAAGGGUACGGGAGGCAGCAGUGGAGAAUAUUGCGGAAUGGGGGGAAGCGUGAUGCAGAAACGCCGAGAGCGGGAUGACGGCCUACGGGUUGAAAACAGCUGUCGCAUGUGACGAAGCGGGAGUGACGGUAAUGGGUAAAGAAGCAACGGCUAACUACGUG